RNAcentral lists this ribosomal RNA (253 nucleotides) under uncultured bacterium. RNAcentral describes it as "partial 16S ribosomal RNA". It matches the Rfam family "Bacterial small subunit ribosomal RNA", at positions 524 to 776 of the family's 1533-position model. The record is from RNAcentral.
UACGGGGGGGGCAAGCGUUGUUCGGAAUUACUGGGCGUAAAGGGCUCGUAGGUGGCCAACUAAGUCAGACGUGAAAUCCCCCGGCUUAACCGGGGAACGGCGUCUGAUACUGGCCGGCUUGAGUUCGGGAGAGGGAUGCGGAAUUCCAGGUGUAGCGGUGAAAUGCGUAGAUAUCUGGAGGAACACCGGUGGCGAAGGCGGCAUCCUGGACCGAAACUGACACUGAGGAGCGAAAGCCAGGGGAGCAAACGGG